UACGUAGGGGGCGAGCGUUGUCCGGAAUCAUUGGGCGUAAAGAGCGUGUAGGCGGUCCGGUAAGUCGGUUGUGAAAGUCCAGGGCUCAACCCUGGGAUGCCGACCGAUACUGUCGGACUAGAGUUCGGAAGAGGCGAGUGGAAUUCCCGGUGUAGCGGUGAAAUGCGCAGAUAUCGGGAGGAACACCUAUGGCGAAGGCAGCUCGCUGGGACGUUACUGACGCUGAGACGCGAAAGCGUGGGGAGCAAACAGG
Molecule: ribosomal RNA, 253 nt
Filed under: uncultured bacterium
Lineage: Bacteria
Description: partial 16S ribosomal RNA
Rfam family: Bacterial small subunit ribosomal RNA
Source: RNAcentral